RNAcentral lists this unclassified non-coding RNA (293 nucleotides) under uncultured Coprinopsis. RNAcentral's name for it is "sequence contains ITS2". The stretch from base 1 to 52 matches the Rfam family "5.8S ribosomal RNA", at positions 103 to 154 of the family's 154-position model. Lineage: Eukaryota; Fungi; Basidiomycota; Agaricomycetes; Agaricales; Psathyrellaceae. The record is from RNAcentral.
AACGCACCUUGCGCUCCUUGGUAUUCCGAGGAGCAUGCCUGUUUGAGUGUCAUUAAUUUCUCAACCUCACCAGCUUUUGCUGAGUGCAGGCUUGGAUGUGGGGGUUGCAGGUCCGCUAACGUGGUCUGCUCCUCUGAAAUGUAUUAGUGGGUUGGGCCCCUAAUCUAUUGGUGUGAUAAUUAUCUACGCCGUGGAUUUGGGUGGCUGACUUAGACCCGCUUCUAACCGUCCUUCACCGGACAACUCUUGACAAUUUUGACCUCAAAUCAGGUAAGACUACCCGCUGAACUUAA